ACCGUCGUUCCUAGAAAGAAGAUCGAGAGCAAACCACCAUUUCCGGUUGGGGGCAGCGUGUGUGUAAAGGCGACAGGUUCACGUGGGCAGAGUGUGAAGUACGAUGGCAAGAUACUGUCCAAAGGAAGCAAGGCAGCCAUGGAGAGUACACUAGCUCGCCUGGUUGAAAACUCUACAACUAAUGUGAGCCAGCUAGAAAUGAUUCAGCGAGAGGCAGCUACUGAUUGUGUAGACAAAGAGAGUAUAUCUGGCAAAGAACCUCGUCAACGUCAUUCAAAAAAGAAAUGUGCGAAAAGGAAUGCUGAAGAGGAGUCUGAGCGUCUGCCUUCAUCAUAGAGCCAGUUAUGGGACAGAUAUACGGACACAUUGAUACCAAGUAAGAAUUACUGUUCCCCUGAAUAUGUAAUAAAUAUAUUGUCUUUUCUGUAUGAAUGUUGUACUAGAAACCAUUACACUUGAUAUAACUUGGGUUUUUAAUUAGUAAUAAAGAGAGUGACCACCAAAACAAUUGACUAAUUUUCAAAAUCCUUUUGUCUGCUUGUCUGGUUUAUUGUUUUAUGAAAUACAUAUUGGUACGUUUAAUAGACAAAUUUGAAUGUACUGAUGUUGUUAAUUUCUAUUAUGCAUGUUAUGAAAACUGGUUGGUUGUUGUAGAAAACAAAGAGAAGGAUAGGCAGCGUCAUUUUGAUGAGUACAGGUGCUUGUCACCAGAUUAUGAAGGUGAUUAGAUUGCUCACGUCAAAGAAGGAAAUUUUGCAAUAAACCUGUGUUUUGUAUAAGGAAAAAAUGAUUCUAGCAGUUCCACAAGGUCUCCGAGUCCUGGUUUGGAGUCUCAGUCAAUUUUGAGCAGUUAGUUUAGUGGUACAAAUAAAGCAAAUAGGAAAGGGACAAAGCGGAGCCACACUGUUGCCACUGGAGGAUCCUGAUUUUGGUCCAGUGACGUCAGCGAACACUGCAAGAGCUCUUGCAUUUAACAGCCACGCUCCUGUUGAAGAUCAUAAUACAUCUACUCCUGUUGCUAAAGCAACUAAGAACACGAGCAAGGAUUAUGUUGAGAGUUCGAGGUUGACAAAGACAUCCUGUGACUGUUUCUGCAAAGACUUGAAACCAUUUCUAAGUGGAAUUGAGGAGACUCUGAAGAGAAUAGAGUCGAAAGUCGAUGCCAUUUCAUGUCCAACCUGAAUCGGACGAGGACAUGUAUAGAGUAAAGAGCUAUCGACCUAUUAAGAAAGAGGCAAAACUUGAAGUUUCUUCUCCGGUUAUCUACAAUGGCAUUGACUUGACGGGUAUCUAUGCUAGCAAGACUUCACCACAGAAGUACGCUAGGAAAGUUGUAGGCCAACUUUUCUCAAAGAAAGAAUUAAGCCAAAGCAUAUUCAGGAAAGUUGGCCCAACUUCACGGAAAGAGCUUUCUCCGACUUGGUGUAAUAUUGUUACAAACUGUCUUGAAAAGCUUUACUCCAAGGAGAUGCUGGAGAGGAACGAGAUGGUCAUACGAGAAAGUCUCAAUCAGAAGUGUAGAGAGGCAAGAGUAGCUGUCAAAUUGAAAUCUGAGUCAGACGGACUAGCAGCAAUAGGACACAGUCUAUGCAACUCAGGGGAGGAUGAUUAGAAGUAGAGACUAGAGUAUUGCUAUACUUAGAAGAUUAUUGUGUUGGAGAGUUUGAUGAAGAGUAGAAGGUCUACAUAUACAUGUCAGUACU
Molecule: long non-coding RNA, 1703 nt
Organism: Corticium candelabrum
Lineage: Eukaryota; Metazoa; Porifera; Homoscleromorpha; Homosclerophorida; Plakinidae
Exons: 12
Source: RefSeq, a predicted model, not a curated record